Molecule: long non-coding RNA, 7704 nt
Filed under: Triticum aestivum (bread wheat)
Lineage: Eukaryota; Viridiplantae; Streptophyta; Magnoliopsida; Poales; Poaceae
Description: long non-coding RNA (TAES_LNC014957)
Source: RNAcentral
UGUUUUUUUUUUGUGAAAACAAUUUUUGUGCACCAUAGAGAAUAUNNNNNNNNNNNNNNNNNNNNNNNNNNNNNNNNNNNNNNNNNNNNNNNNNNNNNNNNNNNNNNNNNNNNNNNNNNNNNNNNNNNNNNNNNNNNNNNNNNNNNNNNNNNNNNNNNNNNNNNNNNNNNNNNNNNNNNNNNNNNNNNNNNNNNNNNNNNNNNNNNNNNNNNNNNNNNNNNNNNNNNNNNNNAGAGGAUUUUAAUACUCCCUUGGUCCCUCCAUUCCUAAAUAUAAGUAUUUAUAGACAUUUCAAAUGAAAUACAACAUAUGAAUGUAUGUAUACAUAUUUUAGAGUGUAAAUUCACUCAUUCUGCUUCGAAUGUAGUCACUUGUUGAAAUUUCUAUAAAGACUUAUAUUUGAGAACUGAAGGAGUAUAUUGUAAGAAAAAUGUUCAAGCUAAUUUGUGAAUUUGUUUCACUACAGCUUGCAAAAACGUUUUAUAUUGUAGGAUGAAGGGAGUAACAAAUAAGCAAAAUAUACCAUUUUUACAUGCAAGGAAGCCAAAUAUGUACAGCGUGUAUAGUACACGAAGGGUCUCUUUAGGACACAUCUAGAUGUGACAUAGUUAUGUCACAUCUAACCUGAUUUUCACUCUGUUUGUGGUCUAUUUUUUUUGUUCUAGUUUUUUUUUGUUUCUUGUUGAUGCAUUAUAUACUUGUGGAAGGUUAGAUGUGACAUCCUUAAAAAACAUCUAGAUGUGAAUUAGACAAACUGGUACACGAAUAUCUAAAGCAGCACGCACCAUACACCUCUCCACGGAAAAACCUAAACAGACGGUGGCCGGCCGACGCCCGCGGCCGGGCCGGUGUCGGAGCGGCAGACCGGGCACGUCGAGUGCGCGUCCAGCCAGGGGUCGAUGCACUCCGCGUGGUACAUGUGCAGGCACGCCGGCAGCAGCCGCACCGUCUCGCCGAGCUGCAGCGCGCCGAGGCACACCGAGCACGUCGCCGCCUCCUCCUCCCCGCCGCCCGUCAUGUUGCGCUUCACGGACGGGCUGUACGUGAACGCCGGGAGGCCGGCCGUGGGGCUGGCGGCGUAGGCCCGGCCAAGCUGCCGCUCGCCAACGACGCGCACGCCAUUGCGUUCCGGCACGGGCCACCGCCAAGCGGCGGCCGCGGCUCGAGCGCGGCGGUCGCGGUACUCCCUGCAGAGGGUGCACACGGCGGUGAACACGAUCAAGCACGCCACGACGCCGAUGAGGAGGCCGGCCAGUAUCCUGCCUUGGGUAGACGAUGGCCUAGCAUUGGACGGCGGCGGCGGUAGUGAAGGAUGGAAUGGCCACCGCGGUGGAGGGGGAGAGGUGACAAUGGGGACGAAGCCCGGGGGCGAUUGAGCCACUGAUGCUCGUCGUGCGCAACUGUUGCUUGUGGUAUGGUUUAAGCAGUAUAAGCAGACUCUGUCGGGGAAGAAUUAUAAGCGGAUAAAAUCAACCACUCCUACUUGCAAGCCUGUGGUCAAAGGGGUUAGUUAAUUGAUUGCCGAUUCAUUGUCAAAUGCGCGUUUAAUGGAAGGGAAAUCGCGGCACGAUACCAAGCGACGUCGUGGCACUGCUGCUGUCUAUGUCAUGGGCUUCGCUCAGGCUGGAGGAAAGGUGCGAGUGUAGGUGAACUACGGACAUACCCAAGUCCAAUUAGAAGCGAAAAUUGCAUCCCUUCUACAUAAUGACACACACAUGAUCCUUAUUUCAGCCCAAAUGAUAAGUGUCACACUUGUGGCACGAAGCACUCCGGUCAUGGCGUUUUUUACAACUAAAUAAAACUACCAUCCGAAAAGAAAAAACUAACUAAAAAAUACUAAAACUUGUCAUUUGAAAAGGAAGUUGCCAUGCUUGACAACUAAAAUUGCCAUCCUCGCGUCACUGUAUUUAUUAUAAAAAACGUUCAAAGUUGCCAUGUGUUUGUAUCGUACGUGUGACAUUUAUAAAGGUCCCCUUUCAUAUGGUUGGGCGAAGCCAUUGCGGACGAUCUCAACAGUUCUACUGGGGAACCGUAUAAUUCGAAGGUUUCCACAAAGACAAAGCCGGGAGAGUGAGAUCUUCAAGACAAGACAUUGGAGACCAAAUGACCCUGAGGACGUCCACAAAUACUUGCAAAUAGGACAGAUGCAUCAUUUGAAGAUUCCUGUCUUAUGUUGCCCAGACAACUGAGUAGACGUAUUUUUGAAUAUAUACAGCAAGCAAAAUCAAUCCAGCAAACUAACACCCGUCAAAAUGUGCAUCUAGCUAGACAGCGGCCGGGUCGGUGUCGGAGCGGCAGAGCGGGCACGUCGAGUGCGCGUCCAGCCACGGGUCGAUGCACUCGGCGUGGUACAGGUGCAGGCACGCCGGCAGCAGCCGCACCGUCUCGCCGACCUGCAGCGCGCCGAGGCACACCGAGCACGUCGCUGCCUCCUCCCCUCCGCCCGCCACGUUGUGCUUCACCGACAGGCUGUACGUGAACGCCGGGAGCCCGGCCGUCGGGCUGGCGGCGCAUGCCCGGUGAAGCUGCCGCACGCCGCCGCUCUCCGGCAGGCUCUGCGUCGGAGCCGCUGCCGCGGCGCGUGCGCGGCUGCUGCGACGCCUCUUGCAGAGGCUGCACACGGCGAGGCCAACGAGCAGGCAGGCGACGAGGCCGCCGAAGGUGCCGGCGACGGUCCUGCCUUGAGACGAACCGCCGGACGGCGGCGGCGGCGGCGGCAUGGAAGGACGGUAUGGCCACGCCGGCGGGGGGAGGGAGAAGCCGGGGAAGCCCGGCGGCCACCGAGCCAUCGGUGCGUGUGUAGCAAAACUGCAAACCAACUCUACCGUUGUCUGCUGGUUUUAUAAUCUUGAUUGAAGCAAAUUAUCAUGUUGGAGCGCAACUUCAUGGAAACUGACCCCGUGGACAAACUGACAGCCGACGUUGAAGCAAAUUAUUAUUUUUCUCUGCGAAACGAAGGGGAAAUCAGGGGACUCGGCACGGCUUCGCCUCGCUUGCACGCUAGGGUAACUGGGCGGUGGCGCUAAGCUGACGUUGCCAAGGCCGUUCCCGUUCCUGUGAAUUAUGUGGUGUUGGAGAUCAGCAGGUUAAAUAGAAGAAGCUGUUUUUUUCCUUGUAGACGCGAGACCGGUCGGCUUCGCCUCACUUUCCGUUUACACACGAUCUUGAGCUGAACCGGAUCUCUACUCUGGUCCUGCAACAGGCACCGAGCUUUUACAACCGAAGCAAACCAACCGAGAUUUAGCGCCAUCCAAUACCUCUGUAAAUAGACUAGGUUACAACUUACAAAGUCAUAAACCAAACACGAACUCAGGGUCAGGGAGCAUGUCGAUAUGGCCACAAAGCAGAGAAGCAAGCAAAUGACACCACUUGUGCAGCACCGAGCUUUUACACCCCUGUUGACAGACAUGCCCUUCCAUUUCGACCGCAAAACCACCCUGGUCUGCUAUAUAAACCCAUGAGACACAAGCAACUGAAAUGAGCUCCCUUUCCAUGAAGUGCCUGCUCUUCACCUCGGCAGUCGCCGCCCUUGCCCUUUUCCGCAUUGCCGCUGUAGGCGCCGGCCUGGAAGUCGGAUUCUACAGCAAGAGCUGCCCAUCAGCAGAGAACCUGGUAAAGCAGGCAGUCACCUGCAACCUUCAAGAACAAUCACUGGUGUCGCCUGCGCUUCCACAACUGUUUUGUCAAGGCAUGUAGACGGCAUAUACUUUCCUAUACCUGCACAAUCAACAUAAGGUAAGCAUGAGUUGUAUGUAUGUUCACGGUAACAACCAAUAGGAUUCCUUCUUUGCACCCCUAGUUGAAUUAUGAACUGCAGGAAAAGUAUCGAUUCUGCAGCAUGCCACAUACGUAGAAGCUAGAGUAAAGUACUCAGGAACAUCUAUUUGUUGUCACAUAUGCACAACGUAGAAACUACAACAAAUAUGAGUUACAAACACCUUUCUCAUAGCAGAAAAGACGGUACCAUCCUUUAUAAUCAACAUAAGCACAUAGCAUAAAGCGAUCGUGUAAGUAUUAUUUUCAAGCUAGCCGCAACUGCAGGCUGAUAAUUAUUUCUAUCGUUGACUAGUUCGUGCUGCCACCAAAGCACCUCAGACCCAUCGCGGAGGUAAGGGUAUUUGAUCUGUCAAAAACUCCCAACACACAGGCAAAGAUUGGUUUGUGGCACGCAUUCUCGUUAAAGUCUCAAUUUGUAUGCAAAUUUGCAUUUAGCCAGCAUAUGGCCCAAAAAGAUAAAGCUGAUAUGCAAUAUGCAAUAUUGAUCAGUCAACACUGCUUUUGUAUAUACCAACAAGAAACAUGCAUGUUAACAAAAUGCAAAAGAGCAACCAGCAUAUAUGUCUAUCAUCAAAUCUAAUGCCCACGUUCAUACUCAAACAAAUAUUUGCGAGGUGAUCUACUGUUAUAAAACACAAUUACCAUAUGCUAACAGGUUUGUGAUGGCUCAGUCCUGAAUCCGAAUUGACUCGACGGCAAACAAAACUUCUGAGAAAGACGUCAUUCCCAACAAACCCAGCCUCCGUGGGUUCGAGGUAACUGAAACUGCAAAGAAGGCCAUCAAAGCCCAAUGCCCCAAGACAGUCUCAUGCGUGGACAUCCUUGCCUUCGCCGCCCACGACAGCAUCACGCUAGGAGGAAAUGUUACUUACAAGGUGCCUGCUGGGCGCCGCGACGGCAGGACGUCCACUGACCAGAAUGCCCUCAACAACCUACCCUCACUAGUCACCACUCUCAACAGCUUCUGAGCUGGUUGGCGACUUCACCUGAAGGACCUCACAGCUCAGGACAUGGUCAUCCUCUCUCGUGCGCACACCAUAGGCGUCUCGCAUUGCUUGUCCUUACAAAGAUCCUAUAUGGCUUCAGCAACACCAGUCAGGUAUGAUGGUGUUCAGAACUAUCGCUAGAUCUCAGACAUUUUCCUUUCGGGCCUUAUGGUAUGCAUCUAGUCUAGUAUCUAUGUCUAUAAUGAUUGUUUUACUGCCAGGUUGAUCUUACCCCGAGUCCCCGACGAUGCUUGACAACAAGUAUUAUGUGGGUCUGACAAACAACCUAGGCCUGUUCACGUCAGACCAGGCAUUGCUCACAAACUCAAAUCUGGGAGCAUCGGUUGACGAGUCUGUCAAAAGCGAGAAGAGAUGGAAGAGCAAGUUUGUUAAGUCCAUGGUUAAGAUACGGCUCAGCUGCAGGGUCAUAAACAAAGGUUGUACUGGUCUUGAGCUUAACAAUGACCCCGACUCUGGUGAAUUCACUGAACUAGCGACAAGCUAGUGGCAGUUGUGGACUGGUCUCUAGUAACUCGAUAAACGCUAUGCUUAGGUCAUUGCUUUGACAAGAAUAAAAGAAAAACAGACAUAUAGAACAACUCAAGGAAAAGAAAAAAUUGUCCAGUUUUCUGCUUUGUUCUGUCUGUUUAGUUUUCUUGUAAUAAUGCCAGAUAAAAGUUCUUUUUACAAUGUUGCGCGUCGGAAUCAGGUUUUGGUUACCAUGCGGUAUUUUCGGUUACCGCCCGGUAGCUACAUUAACCAAUCACCUCCGGUAAACAGAUGAAAACUACUGGCUUUAUUCACAUCAACCUCAAUGUGAAUAAGAUUGCAGGUCCAUAGAAAUAUCACAAGUCUUUGAGAUCCUUGCUGCUAAUUAGGUAUGACAAUAAGCAAAAGGAGGGCAACAUCAAUGCCGUCAAUUCCAGAUAAUGAUAUUCUGGUCAUAGCUCUCGGAAACUUUGAGCCCAAACAUGUGCACAUAAUGCUGAGUUUUAUUCUAUAGCUGUGGUCAAAGUUGUUUACAACCUAUUUUCUUCAGCUUUGAGCUCCAGUCUUGACUAUCUCCAGUUUUCAUACAAGCGGGAUUCUUCAAGAACUACUCCUAAUCUGACAAUGACAUUCACCGCCGUAUUUUCGGCUUUGUUUUGGGCACAAGAAACAGAUGCCCCUCUAUUUGGACUCUUAAAUUUAUGCUAAUAAAUGGCAACUGAAUUGUCAUCUCAAGAAAUAUUUAGUAGUAGUUAAACUAAUAUCGGGAGCAUUUUUCUUGAAGAGAACUAGUAAUGGAAACUAAUCGGCUUAAAUGCUAAAAGCUGACUUGCCCUUCUUAUACUUCGUUCAGGCCCAAAUGAGACAUCAUAUUCACAUUCAAAGAAAUUAGCAUCAAGGGCCACUAGCAAUUACAGAGGUACUUUUAGACUUUUAGCUACAUGAACAUGAGUGUGAUAUAAUCAGUGCAUAUAUCAAACAGGAAGACUAGCAUCUCAACAAAGAAAAUGAUGUAAGUACAAGUAGUGGUUAGUUUACUUGGAAGAUCUUCAACGGUUCCCAUUACAACCUCUCGGCAUUUGUAGUAGAUAAGAGAACCAGCCAUUCAUAAGGAAAAGGAGGGGAAAAGGCCAUAAACUUGACGCAAAAAAGUUCGAAUAUUCUAAACAAGCUGGGACCUAUCACUGAGCAACAAUUAUCAAUUAUAACUGGCUGGCUGUAGUCUUCCAGGUGCUUAACCAAUGUCCAUAACUAAAGAUGAUGCCGCAAGUUGAACCAACCUAUGAAUGGUCACAGAAAAUAAACAAGAACAAAGAUAUGGAAAUGCAUUUAAUCAACAACAUAAUAAACUGAAAGCACACUGAGAAGAAUGACGGAAAUACUUAAAGAGACGAGACACGGAACACAGGACAAGGUUGUGGUGAUCCAGCUCAUGGGUUCAAAUCCUCACUCUCCAAAUCAAAGUUACAGCAAUGGGACUUCGAACCCACGACAGCAAUACAACCUCUAAGAAGUACACAAGGUUAAAUAACAACCAAGAACAAGUCUUUUACAAAGACACGGGACACAGAUCACUUGAAAACAACACACAACACAUAAGCCAUAACACAAUACUGCUAAACUAGAGCAAGCAAGAAGCUUACUCUCUACCACCACGGUAGAAUGCUGCACCUGCGUAGCUCUCAAGAGCAAAAGCUUAAACAUCAAGACACCAAGACAGACAACAACACGAUCAGGGAUUGGCAGCACCAUGAAUGCCGACCACGCCACUGCUGCCGGACGAGCCACCAGUGCCAGGGAAGGAGCUAGAGCCCGGCAUCCCGCCGAAGCCUACCUGUGGCGUGACGCCGUUUGGCCCCGGAAACACCCAGUUGACCGACGGGCCAGGGUAGAAACCACCGAACCCAAAGACGUUCUGGGGACGGUAGGACUCGGGCUCAGUUGCUGGGAUGUCCCUUGCACCAUGGCAAGCAACGGUGGUGGCGAGCAGGAGGCCAAGAACAAGGCUCGCGCUGACGCCGUUACGUCUCUCCAUUGUUGCUACUGCUUUUGCUUGCCGACCAUCUGGUUUGGCCAAGAGCAAGUUGCACAUCCCCCUCUUUUAUAACCGCUAGUGUAGUGUACUGUGCAUGAUCGUUGCGGUGGCUGUGACUGAAACUGAAAGGUGGGCCUAACUUGUGUUUCUUUGCGGCAGGACCCACCUGCCAGUGAGCGUAGCUAUGCCAGUGGCUCCAAAGGUUUUGGCUACGGUCAAACCAAAACAUGGACCGCAGAUCUCCAUGGGACCAUACAUGUUUACUCUGUUGGUGUACUUCUAGCUUGAGUUAAGAUCAUAAUUCAUAAAGCUAAGACUUGACAUACUGAACUUAUGUUCAUAUCUGAUGCUGGGUGUACAGUGGCCUGGGUGCGCAUACCGAGGGUUGCAAGGCCUCAGACUGCAGUAAACGAGAGC